This 69-nucleotide transfer RNA is filed under the name Ictidomys tridecemlineatus (thirteen-lined ground squirrel). RNAcentral's name for it is "Spermophilus tridecemlineatus (thirteen-lined ground squirrel) tRNA". It matches the Rfam family "tRNA". From Rfam's summary of the family: Transfer RNA (tRNA) molecules are approximately 80 nucleotides in length. Their secondary structure includes four short double-helical elements and three loops (D, anti-codon, and T loops). Lineage: Eukaryota; Metazoa; Chordata; Mammalia; Rodentia; Sciuridae. The record is from Rfam by way of RNAcentral.
GGGGUUGUGGCCCAGUGGUAGAGCACUCACCUUGCACGUGUGAGACCCUAGGUUGGAUCCUCAGCACCA